This 492-nucleotide ribosomal RNA is filed under the name uncultured bacterium. Its description in RNAcentral is "partial 16S ribosomal RNA". It matches the Rfam family "Bacterial small subunit ribosomal RNA", at positions 29 to 507 of the family's 1533-position model. The record is from RNAcentral.
AGUGAACGCUGGCGGUAGGCCUAACACAUGCAAGUCGAACGGCAGCACAGUAAGAGCUUGCUCUUACGGGUGGCGAGUGGCGGACGGGUGAGGAAUACAUCGGAAUCUACUUUUUCGUGGGGGAUAACGUAGGGAAACUUACGCUAAUACCGCAUACGACCUACGGGUGAAAGCAGGGGAUCUUCGGACCUUGCGCGAUUGAAUGAGCCGAUGUCGGAUUAGCUAGUUGGCGGGGUAAAGGCCCACCAAGGCGACGAUCCGUAGCUGGUCUGAGAGUAUGAUCAGCCACACUGGAACUGAGACACGGUCCAGACUCCUACGGGAGGCAGCAGUGGGGAAUAUUGGACAAUGGGCGCAAGCCUGAUCCAGCCAUACCGCGUGGGUGAAGAAGGCCUUCGGGUUGUAAAGCCCUUUUGUUGGGAAAGAAAAGCAGCAGGUUAAUACCCCGCUGUUCUGACGGUACCCAAAGAAUAAGCACCGGCUAACCUCGUG